UACGAAGGGGGCUAGCGUUGUUCGGAAUUACUGGGCGUAAAGCGUGCGCAGGCGGUUUGUUAAGUCUGCUGUGAAAUCCCCGAGCUCAACUUGGGAAUUGCAGUGGAUACUGGCAGGCUGGAGUAUGGUAGAGGAAGGUGGAAUUCCCGGUGUAGCAGUGAAAUGCGUAGGGAUCGGGAGGAACACCAGUGGCGAAGGCGGCCUUCUGGACCAAUACUGACGCUCAUGCACGAAAGCGUGGGGAGCAAACAGG
This 253-nucleotide ribosomal RNA is filed under the name uncultured bacterium. Its description in RNAcentral is "partial 16S ribosomal RNA". It matches the Rfam family "Bacterial small subunit ribosomal RNA", at positions 524 to 776 of the family's 1533-position model. The record is from RNAcentral.